AUAGGAAGCUCCAGGUAUGUGGGAGGGUGUGUUAGCUUCCUGUGGUUGCUAUGACGAAUCACCACCAACCUGAUAGCUUCACACAACACAUAUGGACUCUCUCCUAGCUCUGGAGUAGGAUGGUCAGGGAAGACCCUGCUGAGAAGCCACCAUUUGAGCCAAGACUGGAGGAGCUGAGGCUGCGGGCCAGGAUGACAUCGAGGGUGGAGCCUUCCAGGCAAAAAAACAAUCGUGUGAAAGUUUUUCGUCAUGUCCAGGCACCACCUCUUCCCGGUCAGGCCCACGUUACAUACGAGGACAAUGGAACAAGUCAAAGGCAAAGCAACACGUCCCCCUGUAAAAACUGUCAGUGUAACCGUCCACUUCCGUAUCUGUCCAGUCACUUAACAAACAUUGACGGACCACCUUUAAACACAGGCUGCUGUGCUGGUGUCUGGGACACAGCGGUGAGUAAGAGCCAUCUGAUCUCAUGACACUCUCAGGAAGUUCCAGUCUAUGAGGAUGGACAGCAUGCAGGUCAACACAUAAACAUCAUUCAGACUGUGAAAAAUACAACAAAGGACACAGAUUGGGAGAUGGGAUAAAGAGUCAUGGGGGUGGAGCUACUGUCUCAUUUUGGGUGGUCUGGGAAGGCCUCUCUGAGGAGGUGACAUGUGGGCUGAGUCCUGAAGGAUAAGAAGGGGCUGCCAUGGGUGAUUUGAGGGAACAGUGUGCUAGGUGGGAGGAACAGCAAGUGCUAAGGCCAGAGAUCAGGCAGAUCAGAGAUGAGGCCAGGGUAUCUAAGAAGUCAGGAGAGUGCUAAGAGAUGGGGAUGCAGAGACACUGUCAGGUGAAAAAGAAAGAGAAGGGAGCCAGGUGUGGUGGCUGACACCUAUAAUCCCAGCACUUUGGGAGGCAGAG
RNAcentral lists this long non-coding RNA (900 nucleotides) under Homo sapiens (human). RNAcentral's name for it is "HSALNT0268065". Lineage: Eukaryota; Metazoa; Chordata; Mammalia; Primates; Hominidae. The record is from RNAcentral.